UACGUAGGGUGCAAGCGUUAAUCGGAAUUACUGGGCGUAAAGCGUGCGCAGGCGGUGAUGUAAGACAGUUGUGAAAUCCCCGGGCUCAACCUGGGAACUGCAUCUGUGACUGCAUCGCUGGAGUGCGGCAGAGGGGGAUGGAAUUCCGCGUGUAGCAGUGAAAUGCGUAGAUAUGCGGAGGAACACCGAUGGCGAAGGCAAUCCCCUGGGCCUGCACUGACGCUCAUGCACGAAAGCGUGGGGAUCAAACAGG
This 253-nucleotide ribosomal RNA is filed under the name uncultured bacterium. Its description in RNAcentral is "partial 16S ribosomal RNA". It matches the Rfam family "Bacterial small subunit ribosomal RNA", at positions 524 to 776 of the family's 1533-position model. The record is from RNAcentral.